Long non-coding RNA from Phyllopteryx taeniolatus (common seadragon), 1314 nucleotides. RefSeq lists it as uncharacterized. Lineage: Eukaryota; Metazoa; Chordata; Actinopteri; Syngnathiformes; Syngnathidae. The transcript is spliced from 3 exons. The record is from RefSeq and is a predicted model, not a curated record.
AAAAGAGAAAAGAGAAAGAGAAAAAAAAUGAUGUUUUUGUGGGAUUAAAAGCAAAGCAGCUGUGCAGAGCAAAUUGUAGUUUUGAGUUGUAUUCAGGCAGCACUGUGGCUGACAAAAUAUCUACAAGGACCCCUGGAAAUGAACAAAUUGACCCCAAAAUGGCAGCCUUAAACCAAAAUGGUAGAGUUCCAGUGAGUUUUAUAGCAUGGCUUUUUGAGACUUUUUUGUGGGUCAGCUUAUGCUGGACCUGCUUGCCGAAUUUCAUGUUGUUAAGAGAAUCUGGCUUCAGAGGGUGAAUUUUUAAGACUUUGUGAAGCAUCACUCGACUAGUUUAGGAGGUUCAAAUUCAAACAAUUGGACGAAAUCUCUGAGGGACCCUGGAAAUGAUCAACUUCACCCUGAAAUGGCUGCCUUAAACCAAAAUGGCUGACUUCAUGUGAAUCUUAUAGCAUGACUUCUUGAGACUUUUUAUGCUGGACCUACCUGCCAAAAAGGCCUUCAGAAGCAGUCGUGCCUGGGGCAAGAUACACGUGUUUGCAAAGUUUGGUGAGCAUGUUAAAACACUACAAAAAGGUAAUUUAGUUAAUAGGAAUAUGUCGCACCACCUGCAAAGUUGGACACAAAAUUGAACAGGAAGUUAGCCAUUUUGGUUUGAAACAGCCAUUUUGGGCAAUUUCCCAGGCUUGACAAAAUCCUACUUGGGAAUUCACCCAAAGCGAAGGCCCAUUAAAGGCACAGAAACAUACAAAUAUACAACUUUAACACAUUCACUGCCAUUGACUGCUUUGGAAGUCAAAUAUCCAUGUUAACUGGUAGGGCUGGCACUGAAUGAUUUUAAUGACACUUUAUCAAACCAAUUUAUUUCUAUAUGCUAUUUUAUAAUAUUUUAAAAAAACAAUUGUAUGUUUGUGAGCACAAGAAAAACAACUAUGUUUGUGAUGAGGUAAACAGUUGUAUGUUUUGUGUGUGUGUGUGUGUGUGUGUACAGUACACAGGUUGUGUGGUGCGUUGUGUUCAAUAGCUCUGGGAAAAAUACAUCACAGAGAGUGGAAAACAAAUGUAUCGCUUGGCAAGCUGAGACGCUUUUGUUUGAAAAACAACAUGAAAAAAACAUGUGGACGCACGUGAACAAAUAGCAGCCAUGUCCAACCCCAAUUCCAAUGAAGUUGGGACGUUGUGUUAAACAUCAAUAAAAUCAGAAUACAAUGAUUUGCAAAUCAUGUUCAACCUAUAUUUAAUUGAAUGCACUACAAAGACAUUUAAUGUUCAAACUGAUAAACUUUAUUGUUUUUAGCAAAUAGUCAUUAACUUCAA